GAACUUUUUUCUUAAGAAAAGGAAAACUUGACCCAACAUUCGUGGUGGCAAACAAACUGAAGCCGUCUUUCUUUUUCUAUUUCCAGAGGCAUAAGGCCCCUUCACAUUAUGGCGACCCGAAAAGACGACGCUGACCUCGCACAAACCUAUUAACGCACCGCAGGGGGAGCCAGUAGGAAAACUGUCUGAAGCCUGCAGCAUCCAGCCAGAACCACAAAAUAUGGAACCAGCAUCUCUACACUUAGGAGACAUGUGUCUUCAUCUGCAUAAAGAUGUUUUAUGUCCAGAGGAGUAAUGAGAGCUGUGGUGUCCAGGCCCGGCGCAUCAAGCCAGCAUUCAAAGUUUGAUGAAUGGCUGAGCUUUCAACAUGCUCAUCAAACGGAUCAACCGUAGUGACUCGCAUCAUGAGGGGACAUGAGUCACCGCUGAACUUCUCCCACACGAUCUCUGACUGACGGCUUCUCAUGCACACGUCUCUGGAGGUAUUUAAGUGGAAAAUGACAGAUGUGAAUAUGACAUUGGUUGAUGAAUCAUUCUGAAGGAGGCAGAAAAAAGGAAGUGCUGUGUUCUGAUUCUCAGCAGAUCUGGCAACUCAUCGGUGGGACUCUCAGUUAUGAAAGUUUGACACUUUAAAAGGGAGGAGCUCUUAAUUAGUUAGCGUUCCCACAAUGACAAGUAAGGGCUUGUGUUAUAAAAAAACAAAAAAAAGUUGCUUUUAUUUUUGUAAAAUCAUGUCCUAAAGUUGCCCCGGAUAAAAAAAUUAAGGAGAAUCCUCAAAAUCCUCAAAAAACAUUUUUCAACUAACCUCCAACUCAUGUAACUGCUUAUUCUGAUAAAGAUUUACCAAUAUAAACAGAAGUACUUUUAUUUUGUAAAUUUAUAAAUAAUAAUGUAUUAGUUUUAUAUACAUUUAGCCUAAUUUCCAAGACGUUUUAACAAAAACUGAGCACUAAAGCUUAUAGAAAAGCAGCAAAA
This is a long non-coding RNA of Oryzias melastigma (Indian medaka), 975 nucleotides long. RefSeq lists it as uncharacterized. The record is from RefSeq and is a predicted model, not a curated record. NCBI's taxonomy places the organism in Eukaryota, Metazoa, Chordata, Actinopteri, Beloniformes, Adrianichthyidae. The transcript has 2 exons.